GAUGAACGCUGGCGGCGUGCCUAACACAUGCAAGUCGAACGAAGCAUCUUCGUGGAAGCCUUCGGGUGGAAGUGGGGAUGACUGAGUGGCGGACGGGUGAGUAACGCGUGGGCAACCUGCCCUAUACCGGGGGACAACAGCUGGAAACGGCUGCUAAUACCGCAUAAGCGCACAGAGUCGCAUGGCUCGGUGUGAAAAACUCCGGUGGUAUAGGAUGGGCCCGCGUCCGAUUAGCUAGUUGGUGGUGUAAUGGACCCCCAAGGCGACGAUCGGUAGCCGGCCUGAGAGGGCGGACGGCCACAUUGGGACUGAGACACGGCCCAGACUCCUGCGGGAGGCAGCAGUGGGGGAUAUUGCACAAUGGGGGAAACCCUGAUGCAGCGACGCCGCGUGAGUGAAGAAGUAUUUCGGUAUGUAAAGCUCUAUCAGCAGGGAAGAAAUAAGACGGUACCUGACUAAGAAGCCCCGGCUAACUACGUGCCAGCAGCCGCAGUAAAAC
Molecule: ribosomal RNA, 499 nt
Filed under: uncultured bacterium
Lineage: Bacteria
Description: bacterial SSU rRNA
Rfam family: Bacterial small subunit ribosomal RNA
Source: RNAcentral